UAUUACAGUUAACGGAAAGAAAAUUUAAAUUAAAGAGCUUACACCAGUGAUUCCCAACCUGUGGUUCCGGAUCCCUGGAGGUCCGCAAAGAUAAUACCAACUCAUUAAACAACUUGAAUAAUACCUUGGUGAUGAGGCAUUGUCGGAGAACCCACAGCUGGUUUCUAUUUCCAUGCUGACACUGGAGUCCAGGCUAUGGUACUUGCGCGCCCUCGAGUGUUGACGUUCCGAGCUACGAUUGAAA
This 244-nucleotide unclassified non-coding RNA is filed under the name Limulus polyphemus (Atlantic horseshoe crab). Its description in RNAcentral is "uncharacterized LOC111089582, transcript variant X1". The record is from RNAcentral. Lineage: Eukaryota; Metazoa; Arthropoda; Merostomata; Xiphosura; Limulidae.